This 468-nucleotide ribosomal RNA is filed under the name uncultured bacterium. RNAcentral describes it as "partial 16S ribosomal RNA". It matches the Rfam family "Bacterial small subunit ribosomal RNA", at positions 28 to 507 of the family's 1533-position model. The record is from RNAcentral.
GACGAACGCUGGCGGCGUGCUUAACACAUGCAAGUCGAACGGAAAGGCCCUGCUAUUGUGGGGUGCUCGAGUGGCGAACGGGUGAGUAACACGUGAGUAACCUGCCCUUGACUUUGGGAUAACUUCAGGAAACUGGGGCUAAUACCGGAUAGGAGCUCCUGCUGCAUGGUGGGGGUUGGAAAGUUUCGGCGGUUGGGGAUGGACUCGCGGCUUAUCAGCUUGUUGGUGGGGUAGUGGCUUACCAAGGCUUUCACGGGUAGCCGGCCUGAGAGGGUGACCGGCCACAUUGCGACUGAGAUACGGCCCAGAGUCCUACGGGAGGCAGCAGUGGGGAAUAUUGCACAAUGGGCGGAAGUCUGAUGAAGAGACGCCGCGUGCGGGAUGACGGCCUUCGGGUUGUAAACCGCUUUCGCCUGUGACGAAGCGUGAGUGACGGUAAUGAGUAAAGAAGCACCGGCUAACUACGUG